UCCGGUUUGUCACCGGCAGUCCCAUUAGAGUGCCCAACUGAAUGUGGCAACUAAUGGCAAGGGUUGCGCUCGUUGCGGGACUUAACCCAACAUCUCACGACACGAGCUGACGACAGCCAUGCAGCACCUGUGUCCAGGUUCCCUUUCGGGCACCCCUCCAUCUCUGGAGGGUUCCUGGCAUGUCAAGGGUAGGUAAGGUGGGGAUGACGUACCCUUCCAUCACA
RNAcentral lists this unclassified non-coding RNA (224 nucleotides) under uncultured Gammaproteobacteria bacterium. RNAcentral's name for it is "contains 16S-23S intergenic spacer region". Lineage: Bacteria; Pseudomonadati; Pseudomonadota; Gammaproteobacteria. The record is from RNAcentral.